RNAcentral lists this ribosomal RNA (91 nucleotides) under uncultured bacterium. RNAcentral's name for it is "partial 16S ribosomal RNA". It matches the Rfam family "Bacterial small subunit ribosomal RNA", at positions 400 to 508 of the family's 1533-position model. The record is from RNAcentral.
CGUGUAUGAUGAAGGUCUUUGGAUUGUAAAGUACUUUUAUUGGUGACGAUGAUGACGGUAACCAAUGAAUAAGCUCCGGCUAACUUCGUGC